This is a non-coding RNA of Prunus mume (Japanese apricot), 960 nucleotides long. NCBI's taxonomy places the organism in Eukaryota, Viridiplantae, Streptophyta, Magnoliopsida, Rosales, Rosaceae. The record is from RefSeq and is a predicted model, not a curated record.
UCAUCCCUCUCACCUUAAGCGUCUCUCUUCUUCAUCGAUUUCUUCUCUGUCCUCCAUCUCUGCCGUCAUCUAUUCCUAAACCCUAAAAGAGAGAGCCAUAUACGUCCUCCUCCUUGUCUAGAAGAGUCAUCGGAGUCCCUUCGUUAACCUUCGUCGUCGUCGUCGUUGUCCUCUUCCUCAAUGGAGUCCUCUUUCUCGUCGUCGUCGUCCUCCAGGGAUAGAUCAGUAGCCGGUCACUCUGUAACUGUUCGUAAGACAAUUUAUGUGUCUUCUUCUCAAAUCAGCGGCGCCACCACUUUUGAAGUCUCCGGAACGCCAGCAGAUUGUGUGUCUUUAGCAUUAUUAGGGGCAUUGUUCGUGUGGUCAAAGCCUGCUUUGGUCGUCAAUGGAAUAAACAGAGGAUCAAGCUCUGUUUAUAAAGGCUUGCUCAGUUAUUUCAAAAGGGUCUUGUUUAUAAAAGCUUCAAGGUCAUGCUGUACAGUACUGGCUGCAAGACACCGUUCUCCAAUUUUGAGGCCAGUCAAGAAUAUAGGGUUUCACCCUUUUACUCCAUGAAUGGUUAAGUUCCCUGUAUCAUGAGAACAGGUAUCCUGGCCAUGGUGCAGUGUUCCUUUCCAUUAUGAAAAGUGGAACUCUUGAUGUCCUAUUAUCACAGGGUAAGGAGUAUAUCCUUGUGGUUGACUCAGAUAACGUGGCUGCUACAAUUGACCCAAAAAUUUUGGAUCAUUUGAUUGAAAACAAGAUUGAAUACUGUAUAGAGGUAAACAAAAUGAGAGCUUAGGAUGUUCUCCUCUUUCUCUCUUUGUGUGUCUGUACAUAUACAUAUUAGAACUUCAGGAAGCGGGGUCCUGCAAAACUGGAUUCCACUCCUGAAGCUGUCUCUGUGUGUUGCUAUUGUUGAAUCUUGUUAAUGUGAUGGGAUCGUGUAUUUUCAUUUCCACGGUUAAGUGGCCAGUCAAA